UACGUAGGGUGCAGGCGUUAAUCGGAAUUACUGGGCGUAAAGCGUGCGCAGGCGGUUUCUUAAGUCAGAUGUGAAAGCCCCGGGCUUAACCUGGGAACUGCGUUUGAAACUGGGAGACUUGAGUGUGGCAGAGGGGGGUGGAAUUCCACGUGUAGCAGUGAAAUGCGUAGAUAUCCGAAGGAACAUCAGUGGCGAAAGCGGCUUCCUGGUCCAGCACCGACGUUCAGGCACGAAAGCGUGGGGAGCAAACAGG
This 253-nucleotide ribosomal RNA is filed under the name uncultured bacterium. RNAcentral describes it as "partial 16S ribosomal RNA". It matches the Rfam family "Bacterial small subunit ribosomal RNA", at positions 524 to 776 of the family's 1533-position model. The record is from RNAcentral.